Aphis gossypii (cotton aphid) is the source of this 585-nucleotide long non-coding RNA. RefSeq lists it as uncharacterized. Lineage: Eukaryota; Metazoa; Arthropoda; Insecta; Hemiptera; Aphididae. The record is from RefSeq and is a predicted model, not a curated record. The transcript is spliced from 3 exons.
AUCAAUAACAUACUACAGUGUAUAAUUUACCAAUUUUACACUCGUAAUUUAUCUAAAAUAUUUUCAUUUUUAGUAAUUAUUUUACAUGAAUAAACUACUGAAAAAGCAUGCUUCGAUUUUAGCAAAACUCUUCAAGAGUGACAAAAAUAGACUUAGUGUGAUCAUGUGGUUCAUUGCAAACGAGUAACGAUAGGAUCACAAAGACACAGAAAAAAACAGAAUAGACUACACACUAUACACAAAUGACAAUAUAAUAGUGUGUCCUAUCGCCGUAAACUUAUCAAUUAUUGGAUCGCAUUGAGUACAGUACUUUGUGGAAAAUUUAAUGUCAGUCUAAGAAGACUAAAUACACUAGGAUGUCGCUUUUUUGGUUGGGGCAGAGGAUGGGCCAUUUUUUAAAGUGAUUUUUAGUUUGUAAAAUGUGUAUUUUACAUUUUUACUACUACAAAAGGUGAUGACAGACACAAAAAACCAUAAAUCAGUAACUAUAUCGCUCCUUUCAGAAUUUAAAAGAGAACAAUUCAAUGCGAUGAAAAUAGAAAGAGUGGUACGUAGUUUGUGAGACAGUUUUAGUAAAAAUAUUCU